Molecule: small RNA, 164 nt
Filed under: Streptomyces cellostaticus
Lineage: Bacteria; Bacillati; Actinomycetota; Actinomycetes; Kitasatosporales; Streptomycetaceae
Description: c-di-AMP sequence
Rfam family: c-di-AMP riboswitch aptamer (ydaO/yuaA leader)
About the family: This family represents a conserved RNA structure found upstream of the ydaO and yuaA genes in Bacillus subtilis and related genes in other bacteria. The ydaO/yuaA element is thought to act as a genetic "off" switch for the ydaO and yuaA genes in its native state.
Source: RNAcentral
AGUCCCCACACACUUCACCCGUGUUGGCAGGAGCGGGGGACCCGCCAGGUACGACUGCCUGUCUUGGUCUCCGAGACAGGCUCGGGGUGCAGCCGUGCCCUUGCACGGCCGGGCAGCUCCAGCCCGAACCCGACAGCUCACCUCGCAGGCGCCGGAGAGGAAUG